UACUAUCCCUCUUUCGACUCUCUCACAUAUGCAUACAAUGACGUGAUAACGAAAAAAGUAACUAUUUUCACACUCUUUCAUUUUGUGGGUGCCUCUCUUUACUUAUUUAGUUCGUCACAAAAAUCCACAAAUUUCAACGUAACUCUCUUGUAACACUCUUUCAUUUAUGUGUUCGUUAAUAUAUAUAAUUAUGGAAACUAUUUUACGACAUAUUGCUGCAUAUCAUGUGAAAGAAAGCAACGUAUCGAAGACACCGGCCUAUUCAUGGGUAAAAUGAAGGUGAUUGUACACAAUUUUUUUGAUAUGUUCAGAAUAUUAAAAUUGUGUAGAAUUACGGAGUCCACGUUUUACCUUUACGUGGGGAAAUCGGUUACAACAAAUAUAUAUGUAGGUACAUGUAUUGCUACAAGAAAGUCGAUCGAGGCCCAAAAUGAAGCCCAAGUGAACAUAUUCUUACAGUGUGGCCGCCCUUCUCAUGAGCAUUCAGUCCAUUUAAACUAAUGUUGUUCAUUCUUUUUCUUAAUAUUGUGUAAUUUUUGUUUUGUAUAUUGAUAAGGUUAUUCAAUUUUUA
This is a long non-coding RNA of Erigeron canadensis, 571 nucleotides long. RefSeq lists it as uncharacterized. NCBI's taxonomy places the organism in Eukaryota, Viridiplantae, Streptophyta, Magnoliopsida, Asterales, Asteraceae. The transcript is spliced from 2 exons. The record is from RefSeq and is a predicted model, not a curated record.